UACGUAGGGGGCGAGCGUUGUCCGAAGUUACUGGGCGUAAAGCGCGCGUAGGCGGGUCGUUAAGUGAGAGGUGAAAGGGUGGGGCUCAACCCCAGCAGUGCCUCUCAUACUGGCGAUCUUGAGGGCGGUAGAGAGAAGUGGAAUGGCUGGUGUAGCGGUGAAAUGCGUAGAGAUCAGUCGGAACACCGGUGGCGAAGGCGGCUUCUUGGGCCGUACCUGACGCUGAGGCGCGAAAGCCAGGGGAGCGAACGGG
RNAcentral lists this ribosomal RNA (253 nucleotides) under uncultured Armatimonadota bacterium. RNAcentral describes it as "uncultured Armatimonadetes bacterium partial 16S ribosomal RNA". It matches the Rfam family "Bacterial small subunit ribosomal RNA", at positions 524 to 776 of the family's 1533-position model. The record is from RNAcentral. Lineage: Bacteria; Bacillati; Armatimonadota.